UGUACAUCAGAAACUUCAAAUUCUUGCAGGCCAACAAUACAAACUUGUUGUCGGCCAUCUUCUCUCAUGCAAAGUUUCUUUCUAUCACUGAGAAGAUCAAAGAGUUUUCCACCAUAUAUUUCAAAAAAGCUGAGCCACAGUCUGAACCUCUGAUUUCGAUAAACUGGCUGGUGCAACAACCUAACAAGGUCGUCAGCAGCUCUUAGAGGCAAUGGUUGCAUGGUGAAUGUCUUACCACUACCUGUCUGACCAUAUGCAAAACAUGUAGCUUUUGUUCGCUGGAAAAUGAAGGGAAUAAUUGGCUCCACAGUAACACGAUAAACCUCAUCAUUGCUGACAUGCUGAUCCAGAACAGCAUCAAAACAAAAUUCAUGCUUCUCAACAUAUGCAGUCAGAUCCACCUUUAGCUUGGGUUCAUGAACAGUUAAAGCAUUAUCAGAUACAGUUACAAUAUCAUCUUCCUUUCGAGCAAUCUCCUUCUUGUUAAGAGGUCUUUUGCGUACCACAACUUUAAUUUUUGCCACAUUAUUUUCCCUAUUACUGUUCUCUUUUUCGAUAAUAGCAGAUGGAACAGAUUGAUCUGGAUCAUUUUGCUCUCUUUGCUGUUUAACACUAGUUGCAUCGUCGUCAAAUCCUUUUGAGCCACCAUGCAUAAAUGGUGAUGGCUCGAAUGUUUCUGAGAUGACAUGCUCAGAUAGAAGCUCUGUAUCAUCCAUAGCAUG
RNAcentral lists this unclassified non-coding RNA (722 nucleotides) under Hevea brasiliensis (rubber tree). The record is from RNAcentral. Lineage: Eukaryota; Viridiplantae; Streptophyta; Magnoliopsida; Malpighiales; Euphorbiaceae.